GACUGCUUGCCGCCGGGUAAGCGCUGUGCGUUGAUUUCGUAUCGUUAGGCCAAUGUAGAUACGAAAGUCAGCGCUUUAUUUUUG
Molecule: non-coding RNA, 84 nt
Filed under: unclassified sequences
Source: RNAcentral